GCCCGAGUGGCGGAAUGGCAGACGCAGGGGACUCAAAAUCCCCCGGGGGCGACCCCGUGAGAGUUCGACUCUCUCCUCGGGCACCU
This 86-nucleotide transfer RNA is filed under the name Gemmatimonadota bacterium. Its description in RNAcentral is "Gemmatimonadetes bacterium tRNA-Leu". It matches the Rfam family "tRNA". Rfam says of the family: Transfer RNA (tRNA) molecules are approximately 80 nucleotides in length. Their secondary structure includes four short double-helical elements and three loops (D, anti-codon, and T loops). Further hydrogen bonds mediate the characteristic L-shaped molecular structure. tRNAs have two regions of fundamental functional importance: the anti-codon, which is responsible for specific mRNA codon recognition, and the 3' end, to which the tRNAs corresponding amino acid is attached (by aminoacyl-tRNA synthetases). tRNAs cope with the degeneracy of the genetic code in two manners: having more than one tRNA (with a specific anti-codon) for a particular amino acid; and 'wobble' base-pairing, i.e. permitting non-standard base-pairing at the 3rd anti-codon position. Lineage: Bacteria; Pseudomonadati; Gemmatimonadota. The record is from RNAcentral.